UACAGAGGUCUCAAGCGUUGUUCGGAUUCAUUGGGCGUAAAGGGUGCGUAGGCGGCGCGGUAAGUCGGGUGUGAAAUCUCGGGGCUUAACUCCGAAACUGCAUUCGAUACUGCCGUGCUUGAGGACUGGAGAGGAGACUGGAAUUUACGGUGUAGCGGUGAAAUGCGUAGAUAUCGUAAGGAAGACCAGUGGCGAAGGCGGGUCUCUGGAUAGUUCCUGACGCUGAGACGCGAAAGCGUGGGGAGCAAACAGG
Molecule: ribosomal RNA, 253 nt
Filed under: uncultured bacterium
Lineage: Bacteria
Description: partial 16S ribosomal RNA
Rfam family: Bacterial small subunit ribosomal RNA
Source: RNAcentral